AUGCAUGUCUAAGUAUAAGCACUUGUACUGUGAAACUGCGAAUGGCUCAYUAAAUCAGUUAUCGUUUAUUUGAUUGUACUUUACUACAUGGAUACCUGUGGUAAUUCUAGAGCUAAUACAUGCGAAAAAUCCCGACUUCUGGAAGGGAUGUAUUUAUUAGAUUAAAAACCAAUGCGGGUCCUCGUGGCUCGUUUUCUUGGUGAUUCAUGAUAACUUUUCGAAUCGUAUGGCCUAGCGCCGACGAUGUUUCAUUCAAAUUUCUGCCCUAUCAACUGUCGAUGGUAAGGUAGUGGCUUACCAUGGUUGUAACGGGUGACGGAGAAUUAGGGUUCGAUUCCGGAGAGGGGAGCCWGASAAACGGCUACCACA
This 369-nucleotide ribosomal RNA is filed under the name Watersipora subatra. RNAcentral describes it as "SSU rRNA". It matches the Rfam family "Eukaryotic small subunit ribosomal RNA", at positions 51 to 416 of the family's 1831-position model. The record is from RNAcentral. Lineage: Eukaryota; Metazoa; Bryozoa; Gymnolaemata; Cheilostomatida; Watersiporidae.